Molecule: ribosomal RNA, 254 nt
Filed under: uncultured bacterium
Lineage: Bacteria
Description: partial 16S ribosomal RNA
Rfam family: Bacterial small subunit ribosomal RNA
Source: RNAcentral
UACGUAGGGUGCGAGCGUUGUCCGGAAUCAUUGGGCGUAAAGAGCGCGUAGGCGGCCCUGUAAGUCAGACGUGAAAUCCCUCGGCUUAACCGGGGAACUGCGUCUGAUACUGGAUGGCUUGAGUUUGGGAGAGGGAUGCGGAAUUCCAGGUGUAGCGGUGAAAUGCGUAGAUAUCUGGAGGAACACCGGUGGCGAAGGCGGCAUCCUGGACCAACACUGACGCUGAGUGAGCGAAAGCCAGGGGAGCAAACGGG